This 510-nucleotide ribosomal RNA is filed under the name uncultured bacterium. RNAcentral's name for it is "partial 16S ribosomal RNA". It matches the Rfam family "Bacterial small subunit ribosomal RNA", at positions 28 to 507 of the family's 1533-position model. The record is from RNAcentral.
GACGAACGCUGGCGGCGUGCUUAACACAUGCAAGUCGAACGAAGAGCGAUGGAAGCUUGCUUCUAUCACUCUUAGUGGCGAACGGGUGAGUAACGCGUAAUCAACCUGCCCUUCAGAGGGAGACAACAGUUGGAAACGACUGCUAAUACCGCAUACGAUCUAAUCUCGGCAUCGAGGAAAGAUGAAAGGUGGCCUCUAUUUAUAAGCUAUCACUGAAGGAGGGGAUUGCGUCUGAUUAGCUAGUUGGAGGGGUAACGGCCCACCAAGGCGAUGAUCAGUAGCCGGUCUGAGAGGAUGAACGGCCACAUUGGGACUGAGACACGGCCCAGACUCCUACGGGAGGCAGCAGUGGGGAAUCUUCCGCAAUGGACGAAAGUCUGACGGGGCAACGCCGCGUGAGUGAUGACGGCCGUCGGGUUGUAAAGCUCGGUUAAUCGGGACGAAAGGCCUUCUUGCGAACAGUUAGAAGGAUUGACGGUACCGGAAGAGAAAGCCACGGCUAACUACGUG